UGGGGUGUAGCUCAGUUGGUAGAGUGCCGGCCUAGCAUGCACAGAGCUCUGGGUUCAAUUCCUGGCACUGCAU
This 73-nucleotide transfer RNA is filed under the name Rattus norvegicus (Norway rat). It matches the Rfam family "tRNA". From Rfam's summary of the family: Transfer RNA (tRNA) molecules are approximately 80 nucleotides in length. Their secondary structure includes four short double-helical elements and three loops (D, anti-codon, and T loops). The record is from Rfam by way of RNAcentral. Lineage: Eukaryota; Metazoa; Chordata; Mammalia; Rodentia; Muridae.